GUGAGGGUAGGAGGAGCAGGAGCCAAUGGCACCCAAGGCACUGAGGAUGGUAUAGGAGCCGGCUGUGCAAGCGGCCCAGGUGGUGGUGCAGAACAGGAAGAGAAAGCAGAGGCGGAGGAAGUGACGGGAGGCAGCUGAGGCCAAGCAGCGGCAAGAAAGGAGAUUCCCCCCAAAAAAAGUAUCUGCAGCUGUUUGGGACCAUCCUUAAAAUCAAUAACCAUGAGCAGCUGUCUCCCUGACAUCAACAUCACUAACUCAGGAAACCAAUGGUGGGCUCAGGGGUGCUGCUGCGAAUAUCUGCUCUCUGUAAGCUGGGAACAGAAAUGAGAAAGAUACUAGCAAUUCCUAGCAAAACCAUCUGAACAUAAGGAAACCAUGGCCAUAGCAGGGGCACUGUGCUUUAUUGCUGUUGUUGUUGUUGAAUGAGACCCAGGGGAGGGAAGAUGGAAGUCAAAACCCUGGGAGUUUGUCUUGGAGAGAGAGCAUUCUGGGUCUCCGUGUGUACGGAGAUAGACCUGGGCCCCUAAGGUUUGGCAUUUGGAUAACAGGUAAGGGACGCAGACUCUGACAAAGAAUUAACUGGCAGCCCCCGGGGCCUGUAUUGUCCAUAAUCACAUUUUAGCUGUCCCAUACAGGGAAAUCUGAAUCUUUAGCUUCUUUUGAGACUUUAGCACAUGUGAUUAUGGCCUGUGAUCUUGCAGGACC
Acinonyx jubatus (cheetah) is the source of this 705-nucleotide long non-coding RNA. RefSeq lists it as uncharacterized. The transcript is spliced from 3 exons. The record is from RefSeq and is a predicted model, not a curated record. NCBI's taxonomy places the organism in Eukaryota, Metazoa, Chordata, Mammalia, Carnivora, Felidae.